This 836-nucleotide ribosomal RNA is filed under the name Streptomyces sp. VC-YC6648. Its description in RNAcentral is "bacterial SSU rRNA". It matches the Rfam family "Bacterial small subunit ribosomal RNA", at positions 68 to 908 of the family's 1533-position model. The record is from RNAcentral. Lineage: Bacteria; Bacillati; Actinomycetota; Actinomycetes; Kitasatosporales; Streptomycetaceae.
GAUAACCCGCNUAAGGGUGGUUGGAUUAGUGGCGAAACGGGUGUAGUAACACGGUGGGCAAUCCUGCCCUUCACGUCGUGGGACAAGCCCUGGAAACGGGGUUCUAAUACCGGAUAACACUCUGUCCCGCAUGGGACGGGGUUAAAAGCUCCGGCGGUGAAGGAUGAGCCCGCGGCCUAUCAGCUUGUUGGUGGGGUAAUGGCCUACCAAGGCGACGACGGGUAGCCGGCCUGAGAGGGCGACCGGCCACACUGGGACUGAGACACGGCCCAGACUCCUACGGGAGGCAGCAGUGGGGAAUAUUGCACAAUGGGCGAAAGCCUGAUGCAGCGACGCCGCGUGAGGGAUGACGGCCUUCGGGUUGUAAACCUCUUUCAGCAGGGAAGAAGCGAAAGUGACGGUACCUGCAGAAGAAGCGCCGGCUAACUACGUGCCAGCAGCCGCGGUAAUACGUAGGGCGCAAGCGUUGUCCGGAAUUAUUGGGCGUAAAGAGCUCGUAGGCGGCUUGUCACGUCGGAUGUGAAAGCCCGGGGCUUAACCCCGGGUCUGCAUUCGAUACGGGCUAGCUAGAGUGUGGUAGGGGAGAUCGGAAUUCCUGGUGUAGCGGUGAAAUGCGCAGAUAUCAGGAGGAACACCGGUGGCGAAGGCGGAUCUCUGGGCCAUUACUGACGCUGAGGAGCGAAAGCGUGGGGAGCGAACAGGAUUAGAUACCCUGGUAGUCCACGCCGUAAACGUUGGGAACUAGGUGUUGGCGACAUUCCACGUCGUCGGUGCCGCAGCUAACGCAUUAAGUUCCCCGCCUGGGGAGUACGGCCGCAAGGCUAAAACUCAAAGGA